AACGAACGCUGGCGGCAGGCCUAACACAUGCAAGUCGAACGCUCCGCAAGGGGAGUGGCAGACGGGUGAGUAACGCGUGGGAACCUUCCCAGUGGUACGGAAUAGCCCAGGGAAACUUGGGGUAAUACCGGAUAAGCCCGAGAGGGGAAAGAUUUAUCGCCAUUGGAUGGGCCCGCGUCGGAUUAGCUAGUUGGUGAGGUAAAGGCUCACCAAGGCGACGAUCCGUAGCUGGUUUGAGAGAACGACCAGCCACACUGGGACUGAGACACGGCCCAGACUCCUACGGGAGGCAGCAGUGGGGAAUAUUGGACAAUGGGCGCAAGCCUGAUCCAGCCAUGCCGCGUGAGUGACGAAGGCCUUCGAGUUGUUAAACUACUUUUAGUCAGGGACGAUAAUGACGGUACCU
RNAcentral lists this ribosomal RNA (406 nucleotides) under uncultured bacterium. Its description in RNAcentral is "bacterial SSU rRNA". It matches the Rfam family "Bacterial small subunit ribosomal RNA", at positions 29 to 480 of the family's 1533-position model. The record is from RNAcentral.